AUGAAUUUCAUUUUCAAAGGUUCAAACAGAAAAUUUGUACUCAUAUUCAUGGAUGACAUAUUGGUGUUCAGUGGGACAUUAGAAGAACACCUGCAACAUUUGCAAGAAGUGUUUGCAAUACUCAAGGAGAACAACAUGUUUGUUAAGGAAAGCAAAUGUGCUUUUGCUCAGAAGUCCAUGGAGUAUCUGGGACACAUUAUUACUGCUGUAGGAGUCACCACUGAUCCUGCCAAAACAGCUGCUAUGGUGGAUUGGCCUACACCCACUAAUGUCACUGAAUUGAGAGGAUUUUUGGGACUAACUGGCUACUAUAGGAAGUUUGUCAAGAACUAUGGCCUGUUAGCUAAACCUCUCACUGUUCUGUUGAAGAAACAAGCAUUCCAGUGGACUGAAUCUGCACAGGCUACCUUUCAACUUCUGAAGCAAGCUAUGGCCACUACACCUGUGUUGGCCUUGCCAGAUUUUAACAAAUCUUUCACAGUGGAAACAGAUGCUUGCAACACUGGGAUAUGUGCAGUGCUCACACAGGAGGGACAUCCCAUUGCAUACUACAGCAAGGCCUUGGGCACAAAUAGUCAUAAAAUUUCCAUCUAUGAAAAAGAAUUUAUGGCCAUAAUGAUGGCUGUGGAUAGAUGGAGAUCAUAUCUG
This 648-nucleotide ribosomal RNA is filed under the name Triticum aestivum (bread wheat). RNAcentral describes it as "partial small subunit ribosomal RNA". The record is from RNAcentral. Lineage: Eukaryota; Viridiplantae; Streptophyta; Magnoliopsida; Poales; Poaceae.